This 93-nucleotide transfer RNA is filed under the name Salmo salar (Atlantic salmon). It matches the Rfam family "tRNA". From Rfam's summary of the family: Transfer RNA (tRNA) molecules are approximately 80 nucleotides in length. Their secondary structure includes four short double-helical elements and three loops (D, anti-codon, and T loops). Further hydrogen bonds mediate the characteristic L-shaped molecular structure. tRNAs have two regions of fundamental functional importance: the anti-codon, which is responsible for specific mRNA codon recognition, and the 3' end, to which the tRNAs corresponding amino acid is attached (by aminoacyl-tRNA synthetases). tRNAs cope with the degeneracy of the genetic code in two manners: having more than one tRNA (with a specific anti-codon) for a particular amino acid; and 'wobble' base-pairing, i.e. permitting non-standard base-pairing at the 3rd anti-codon position. The record is from Rfam by way of RNAcentral. Lineage: Eukaryota; Metazoa; Chordata; Actinopteri; Salmoniformes; Salmonidae.
UCCCCUGUGGCUCAGUUGGUAGAGCAUGGUGGUUGCAACGCCAGCAUGGUGUGUGCAAUGCCAGGGUUGUGGGUUCGAUUCCCACGGGGGGCC